GGACGGGUGAGUAAUGUCUGGGAAACUGCCUGAUGGAGGGGGAUAACUACUGGAAACGGUAGCUAAUACCGCAUAAUGUCGCAAGACCAAAGAGGGGGACCUUCGGGCCUCUUGCCAUCGGAUGUGCCCAGAUGGGAUUAGCUUGUUGGUGGGGUAACGGCUCACCAAGGCGACGAUCCCUAGCUGGUCUGAGAGGAUGACCAGCCACACUGGAACUGAGACACGGUCCAGACUCCUAGGGGAGGCAGCAUG
RNAcentral lists this ribosomal RNA (252 nucleotides) under uncultured bacterium. RNAcentral describes it as "partial 16S ribosomal RNA". It matches the Rfam family "Bacterial small subunit ribosomal RNA", at positions 100 to 353 of the family's 1533-position model. The record is from RNAcentral.